Molecule: long non-coding RNA, 817 nt
Organism: Benincasa hispida (wax gourd)
Lineage: Eukaryota; Viridiplantae; Streptophyta; Magnoliopsida; Cucurbitales; Cucurbitaceae
Source: RefSeq, a predicted model, not a curated record
UUCAAAAGACCUAUGGGAUGCUAGCUUUAUAAUUCAAUGUCGCCUGAAAUAGUGACUCAAGUAAUGGGUUAUCAAUCCUCAAAGGACCUAUGGGAUGCGGUUCAACAAUUUUCUGGAGUACAAUCAAAAGCUGAAAUUGAUUAUUUAAAACACUUGUUUCAGUAGACAAGGAAAGGGUCCCUCAAAAUGGAGGAAUACCUAACUAUCAUGAAGAACGGAUGGACUUACUCAAAUCAAUCUGUUCGUCAGGUCUGCACCAAGAUGGGACAUACAGUCGAUGUUUGUUAUAUGCGUUAUCUCAAAGAUUUUAAUAACCUCAAUCAGACUCUCUUCGUGAAACUGCUAAUACGACACCUGGGUUUAACGACAAUAAGAACUUUUGUAUGCCUCAGAAUCCUUUCAUGGCCAAUUCUGUGUUAGCUACCCCUUAAACAGUGAUUGACCCCUCUUGGUACGCUGAUAACGGAGCCUCCAACCAUGUGACAGCCAACCCCAAUUACCUCAAUCAGAAAACAGAAUACACAGGACAAAAUUUCGGGGCGGAAUUGGUGAAGGGCACGCUUAAGGAUGCAUUGUAUCAGCUAGCCGCUCAUGAGCAAUAUGUAAAUAAAUUCCAGAUCCUUGCUGCAGCAAAGUCUGAUGAUUCGAAAGUUGCAUCCUCUAAUUUUUCAUUUUGUUUACUUGUUGAUGAGCUUCAUAGUACUUGUCAGGCUAAUAUGGUUGUGACCAAGUCCAUUUUGCACAAGAGACUUGAUCAUCCCUCUUCACAAACAUUAAACAGAGUUAUUAAAUCUUAUAAUAUGAAGUUUGCUUCUAA